AGCUUUUCUUGUACACAUCCUGCCUCAUGACCCUGUCUGAACUGUUGCGUUGCUGCGCUUGUAAUGUGUGUGCACUAAGGCAGUAUAUUUACACAGAGGGAAACAAUGGUAACAUAAACGAAUCAUUAGAACCAUGCAAUAUUACCAUUUGCAUUCAAGCGUUAAGCGAAAUUACGGUUUGUUUCCGGUUUUGAGAACAUGGGUUUGCCCAAUGAAAACUGUACGUUUGACAGGUCAAACUUCGCUGAGCGGGACUUAUUGAUACAGACUACAUUUGAAUAUUCGAUUUUAUUUAUUAGUGAUUUAAUAGUGUUUAAUAUACUCAAAACUAACAAAUGGAUAAUUUUAAAACGAAUAAGUUUGGAAAACCUUUAUCAGAAGACUUUCGAGUAUUAAUCUUGGACACAAUUAUUGAGAAGGGAGGAGACAGUUUAACAGGUUAUAUUCCAGUUACUUAUAUCGAGAUUUCAAAACGUUUCUGCGUUUCGCAGCAAACAGUUGCAAAGAUAUGGAGGGAAUUUUGCCAAAGAAACAGUUUUGCUGUACAAUCCCGUGGAGGACUACGUAUUAAUAAUCGCAAAUUAACUGACAAUGACUUGGAACUGAUCGAAACGUUGAAAGCAAAUAAGGGAUAUAUCUCAAUGCGAUAUACACCCUGUAUAAUAAUACGAAUGGAUACAUGUUAAUAUGAUGUCAAUGAAAUGUCAAACUAUUAAAGUCUAUGUUUAGCAAAUAACUAGUUUAUAAAUCCUGUGUUGUUUAGUAAAUAACUAGUUUAUAAAUCCUGUGUAAGCAAUACUGUACCUUCCAGAGGUUUAUUUUUAAUAUACAGUAAGUCCCGCCCAGCGAAGUGUUGUUUUGAAAAUUGAAAUGUCAAACGUACAACUUUGACCUGUCAAACGUACAAUUUUCAUUGAGCAAACCCAUGUUCUCAAAACUGGAAACAAACCGUAAUUUCGCUUAAGGCUUCAAUGCAAAUGGUAAUAACCAUACACUCAAAUGUUCUCUCUUUUCAGAUCCAUUUUCAAAUCCAGAAGCUGAUGAAUUUCGAAAGUACAGUUUUUGCAAAGAAAAUCAUCGUUAUAAACUUUCGUUCAGCCUAUCAAAGUCUAUUGAACAGAAAAUAGAUCGAAUGUGUAAAUAUACUGAACAUUUAGACCGCCAGGAUUUAUGCCGGAUUUCAUUGUACCCAGAACAACAAAACAAACAAUGGAUGGCCUGGAUACAAGUAUCUACAGCCUGUUCGCAGGCAAACAAAAAAGAACAAUACCUGAAAGUAGACUUUCUGUGACCUUUGUAUACCAUUAACUGAAUAUCCAUUACGGGGCCAUAUUUAUCCAUCAUAGUCUCUUUGUAUCCAUUUAGUAUAGUCACAAUUCAUCAGCAUGUUCAGUAAUGAUCUGUAAAACAAAGCAAAAAAUCAAUAAUUAAUUCAGAUAUAAAACUUAAACCAUUUUGCUACAAAAAAAACAACAAAUUAAACCAUUAGGUUGUAUACUGUGCCCUGGUGCAUGCUCUACUUGAGUAUUUUACUGUCCAACACCAGAGUGACCAGACGAUUUUACGCUUCAUAAUGAGACUGCCCAAUGCCCAUGUGUCUAGUUACCCAUUAACUGUCAGUGCGCCCCCUGCUUAAUAAAAUUGUCUGACGUUAGACAGAGUUAAAAUAAUAUAAGUAGGUAAAUUAGGGUGCAAAUCAAAUUUAAUGGUUAAAUGUGCUGUUUACAUGAUCCCAGUUUGUCAGGACAGGAUGAAAGGUGGGACAAUUUUCAUGCACUGAAAUAAGUCACUGGGGUUUGAAAAAAAGUUCAAAGAUGGUUAAAAGAACUCAAACUCUGUUGUCCAUACAAUCUCAUAAUAUGACUAGAAGUUCUGUCAAACAAUUACAAAUCUAUAACUAGAAAAAUAAUGCAAACCUUGUGAAAAUUGUGAAAAACUGUUCUUUUAAUUAAAACAAUUACUUUCAAAUGAUAAAAACAUGAAUUGGAAUAUGUUGAUCAAAUCAAAAGGAGGGGGAACACAGGAUAUUUUUGAAAAAUUCUUAAAUUGCACAAGCCUACUCCAAACUUUCUGAACCAUAAAAGCAAACGUUUUCAACAUAGUCCUUUGGUUUACUCUAUAUACUUGUAUAAUUCUAACUUGGUCG
This 2146-nucleotide long non-coding RNA is filed under the name Paramuricea clavata. Lineage: Eukaryota; Metazoa; Cnidaria; Anthozoa; Malacalcyonacea; Plexauridae. The record is from RNAcentral.